Long non-coding RNA from Chinchilla lanigera (long-tailed chinchilla), 1657 nucleotides. RefSeq lists it as uncharacterized. The transcript has 4 exons. NCBI's taxonomy places the organism in Eukaryota, Metazoa, Chordata, Mammalia, Rodentia, Chinchillidae. The record is from RefSeq and is a predicted model, not a curated record.
AGACAAGGAAGUCCAAGAUGAAGGUGGUGGCAGAUGCAGUGACUGGGGACAAGUCACCUCCAGGUUCAUAGAUGGCUCUUUUUGCACUGCCCUGACAUGGAAAGAGGGGCUACGCUGCCCUCUGGGCCCUCUUUCAUAAAAGCACUCACCUCAUCCUAAGGGCUUCCCCUCAGGACACAGCGGUCUCCCAGAGGCUCCACCUCCUGACACCUUUUCAGAGCUAAGGAUGGAGCCUAGCCCCUCAUACCUGCUUUGGAUCAGUGCAAAUCCAGAGGCUGCCCUGGGGAGUGACGCGGUGUGGCCAGCAGAUCACUGCAGGAUUGUGUUUAGCCAGGCUUGAUGGCGUACAACUGUAAUCCCAGCACCGUGGGAGGCUGAGGCAAGAGGACUGCAAGUUUGAGCCAAUCCUUGACAAUCUGGUGACUUAGAGAGACUCUCCAAAUAAGAAUAUUUUAAGACAGCUGAGGAUGUAGUUUAAUGUGAAGACUCUGGAUUCAAUCCUCAGUACUGAAGAAAAAAAAAAAGAAAGAAGACCGUGUCCAUGUUCAUGAGAUUUGUCUCUGAAGAAUGAAGGACAUGACCGAAAAGGACCGGCAAAAGCGCAAAACAAUGUGUGGAAAUACCUCACUCCAGUGAUGAAACUUCAGAACAACACAUCUACAGAGGUGUCUUCCAGAGGGGCAAAAGAGGUUCCAGACAGAGGAUCGAGAAGGAAAAUGACUUCUGAGCUCUCAGCACCGAAACACUUGACAACUUCUAUGGAAUGGCAAAGUAUCUCAUUUCUUUUGGUUUAAGUUCGUUGUCCAUAAUGUGGGCACAGUGUUAUGCUGGCGUGUGAAACUUGAAUUUCUUCAGGCCCCUCCAGAGCCGUUUUAAACAACAGCGAGCAGACUGCCUCUCCCUCUCAGCCCCACUGGUCAGGGCUGACCUCUAUUCUCUUGUGAGGUCCUCUGGAAAUCUCUAGCAGCUCUUGAGCUGUUCUGACACUCAGGGUUCACCUAACUCUGCUGUGAAGUGACAGAGGGGACGCCUCCUUGUCCACUCUGUUGGAGGCGUCUCUCAGCAGUACUAAUUAUACCCUGAACUCUUCUAGAAUUCAAGACAAAGUGUCUUGUAUUAGUUUUCUGAGGCCGCCAUAACAAAUUGCCACAAUCUAGGUGUGCUGUUCUAAGACAACAGAAAUUUAUGCUUUUAUAGUUUUAGAUGCCAUAAAUGUUAAAUCAGCGUGCAGCAGGGCCACACUCCUUCUAAGGUGUUAGGAGAGGAUCCUUCCUGUUUGCAUCUUAUUGCACUCCCUGGUUGCUUACCUUAGCCACCUGAUGGGAUAGGGACAAUAAACAGUCUGCCAGAAGCUGCGCCGGGUGACAGAUCUGAGUGACAGGCACAACAUUUUACUCAGAAUCUCCCAUCUUCCUUUUCACCUAAGCUUAUCUUCCUGGGGCCACCGGCCAGCUCCUCCUUAUUUCAAAAUGUGGUCACUCCUAGGGGUCUUGUCCUCCCUGCUCCAUAAGGCCAUACAAAUGCUUGCUUUUAGGUUUAGGUUCAAACUAGAACCUCUUCAAUAAAUAUAAGUAGAGCCCUUAUGAACUUAUAUUAUAUAAAAAUGUUAUUCUGCUUAUUAAAAGCAACUGAGAGCAACUACUUCACAUACAUCUCU